This 492-nucleotide ribosomal RNA is filed under the name uncultured bacterium. RNAcentral describes it as "partial 16S ribosomal RNA". It matches the Rfam family "Bacterial small subunit ribosomal RNA", at positions 29 to 507 of the family's 1533-position model. The record is from RNAcentral.
AGUGAACGCUGGCGGUAGGCCUAACACAUGCAAGUCGAACGGCAGCACAGUAAGAGCUUGCUCUUACGGGUGGCGAGUGGCGGACGGGUGAGGAAUACAUCGGAAUCUACUUUUUCGUGGGGGAUAACGUAGGGAAACUUACGCUAAUACCGCAUACGACCUACGGGUGAAAGCAGGGGAUCUUCGGACCUUGCGCGAUUGAAUGAGCCGAUGUCGGAUUAGCUAGUUGGCGGGGUAAAGGCCCACCAAGGCGACGAUCCGUAGCUGGUCUGAGAGGAUGAUCAGCCAGACUGGAACUGAGACACGGCCCAGACUCCUACGGGAGGCAGCAGUGGGGAAUAUUGGACAAGGGGCGCAAGCCUGAUCCAGCCAUACCGCGUGGGUGAAGAAGGCCUUCGGGUUGUAAAGCCCUUUUGUUGGGAAAGAAAAGCAGCAGGUUAAUACCCCGCUGUUCUGACGGUACCCAAAGAAUAAGCACCGGCUAACUUCGUG